This 843-nucleotide ribosomal RNA is filed under the name uncultured organism. RNAcentral describes it as "bacterial SSU rRNA". It matches the Rfam family "Bacterial small subunit ribosomal RNA", at positions 527 to 1382 of the family's 1533-position model. The record is from RNAcentral.
GUAGGAGGCAAACGUUAUCCGGAUUUACUGGGCGUAAAGCGCGUGCAGGCUGUUUGGUAAGUUGGGCGUGAAAGCUCCCGGCUCAACUGGGAGAGGUCGUUCAAUACUGUCAGACUAGAGGAUGGUAGAGGGAGGUGGAAUUCCGGGUGUAGUGGUGAAAUGCGCAGAUAUCCGGAGGAACACCAGUGGCGAAAGCGGCCUCCUGGACCAUUCCUGACGCUCAGACGCGAAAGCUAGGGUAGCAAACGGGAUUAGAGACCCCGGUAGUCCUAGCUGUAAACGAUGUGAACUUGGCGUCGGUGGGAUUAAAUCCAUCGGUGUCGAAGCUAACGCGAUAAGUUCACCGCCUGAGGACUACGGCCGCAAGGUUAAAACUCAAAGGAAUUGACGGGGACCCGCACAAGCAGCGGAGCGUGUGGUUUAAUUCGUUGCUACACGAAGAACCUUACCUGGGUUUGACAUAUAGGUUGUAGGGAACUGAAAAGGGACCGACCCUUCGGGGAGCCUAUACAGGUGUUGCAUGGCUGUCGUCAGCUCGUGUCGUGAGAUGUUCGGUUAAGUCCGCUAACGAGCGCAACCCUCGCCGUAUGUUAUACGUGUCAUACGGGACUGCCGGUAAAAAGCCGGAGGAAGGUGGGGAUGAUGUCAAGUCAGCAUGACCCUUAUAUCCAGGGCUACACACACGCUACAAUGGUCUGUACAAUGGGUAGCCAAGCCGCGAGGCGGAGCCAAUCCUGAAAGCAGGCCUCAGUUCAGAUUGCAGUCUGCAACCCGACUGCAUGAAGCCGGAGUUGCUAGUAACCGCAGGUCAGCAAUACUGCGGUGAAUACGUUCCCGGGUCUU